AUUACAUGCAGGGCGAGAAGGUGUGGAAGGAGAUUUGCAUCAAACGCUCCCCCGUCGUGAAGCGCGCGCGAUGGGUCCUCGUCAAUUCCUUCUACGACCUCGAGGCGCCCACCUUCGAUUUCAUGGCCAGCGAGCUCGGACCUAGAUUUAUCCCCGCGGGGCCACAGUUUUUGCUCGACGAUUCCAGGAAGAAUGUGGUGCUUCGCCCCGAGAACGAGGAUUGCCUUGGCUGGAUGGAUGAGCAGGAGCCUGGAUCGGUGCUCUACAUCUCGUUUGGCAGCGUCGCGGUGCUGAGCGUGGAGCAAUUCGAGGAGCUCGCGGGAGCUCUCGAGGCAUCGAAGAAGCCAUUCUUGUGGGUGAUUCGACCUGAGCUGGUGGUGGGUGGUCACUCGAACGAAUCUUACAAUGGGUUUUGCGAGAGGACCAAGAACCAGGGAUUCAUCGUUUCCUGGGCGCCACAGCUGAGAGUUCUCGCCCAUCCCUCCAUGGGAGCGUUUCUCACGCACUGCGGAUGGAAUUCCGUCCAGGAGAGCAUCGCUAAUGGCAUUCCAAUGCUGGGGUGGCCUUACGGGGGCGAGCAAAGCACCAACUGUAAGUUCAUAGUGGAGGACUGGAAGAUCGGGGUUAGAUUCUCCAAGACUGGUGCAGGGAUUGAUCGAGCGAGGAGAGAUUGAGGCCGGCAUAAAAAAGGUGAUGGAUAGCGAGGAGGGGAAGAAGAUGAAGAAGAGAGUGGAGAACUUGAAGAUCCUUGCGAGGAAAGCUAUGGACAAAGAGAAUAGGAAGUCGUUUCGUGGCCUCCAGGGAUGGCUGGAAGAUCUCAAAGCUAUGACUGGAACAAUGAAAAGUCACACUUGCCCGAAUAAACACAACUUCUGCAAAAGCUGGUCGAUGUGUACGAUCAAAUGGAAAACAACCAACUGGCUGGACAAGAUUCUCGUGGAUAAAGUGAUGGUUCUAUGGUUAUAAGAUCCGCAUGGAUCAAUUCUCAGAGUGGGAAGAGACCUAAGAAAUCAUGAGAUCCUUGCGAAGUUCUAGCGAUUCUUCCUCCCCCAGUAGCAAGAUCCAUGUCGUGGUCGUUCCCCUGCCCGAGCAAGGCCAUAUGUCCCCAAUGAUCCAUCUCUGCAAGCUCAUCGCUCGAGAUCCAAGCUUCACGAUCUCCUUGGUCAAUGUGGACAGCCUCCACGACGAGUUCGUCAAGCACUGGGUGGCGCCGGCGGGGCUGGAAGAUCUGCGCCUCCAUUCCAUCCCAUACUCGUGGCAGCUCCCGCUAGGAGCCGAUGCCCACGCGCAGAGAAAUCUGGCGGAAUGGUUCACGGCAUCCGCGCGAGAGCUCCCAGGCGGCCUCGAGGAUUUGAUCCGCAAGCUCGGGGAGGAGGGUGAUCCGGUCAACUGCAUCAUCUCGGAUUACUUCUGCGAUUGGAGCCAGGAUGUGGCGGAUGUGUUUGGCAUCCCCAGGAUCAUUCUUUGGUCAGGAACCGCGGCAUGGACGAGCUUGGAGUACCACAUUCCAGAGCUUCUGGAGAAGGAUCACAUAUUUCCUAGCAGAGGUACGAAUCUUUGAAUUUACCAUGAACAUUAGUUCUUUUCCUCCUUCCCUUAUUCAAAUUUUGCCUGUUCUUCCCCGAUUCGUGCGCAGGGAGAGCUUCCCCGGAGGAGGUCAAUUCCGUGAUCAUCGACUACGUCCGAGGAGUCAAGCCGCUCCGCCUGGCCGAUGUGCCCGAUUACAUGCAGGGCAACGAGGUGUGGAAGGAGAUUUGCAUCAAGCGCUCCCCCGUCGUGAAGCGCGCGCGAUGGGUCCUCGUCAAUUCCUUCUACGACCUCGAGGCGCCCACCUUCGAUUUCAUGGCCAGGGAGCUCGGGCCUCGAUUCAUCCCCGCGGGGCCACUGUUCUUGCUCGACGAUUCCAGGAAGAAUGUGGUGCUUCGCCCGGAGAACGAGGAUUGCCUUGGCUGGAUGGAUGAGCAGGAGCCUGGAUCGGUGCUCUACAUCUCGNNNNNNNNNNNNNNNNNNNNNNNNNNNNNNNNNNNNNNNNNNNNNNNNNNNNNNNNNNNNNNNNNNNNNNNNNNNNNNNNNNNNNNNNNNNNNNNNNNNNCAUUCUUGUGGGUGAUUCGAUCCGAGCUCGUGGUGGGUGGACACUCAAAUGAAUCCUACGAUGGGUUUUGCGAGAGGACCAAGAACCAAGGAUUCAUCGUUUCCUGGGCGCCACAGCUGAAAGUUCUCGCCCAUCCCUCCAUGGGAGCGUUUCUCACGCACUGCGGAUGGAAUUCCAUCCAGGAGAGCAUCACACACGGGAUUCCAAUGCUGGGGUGGCCUUACGGGGCCGAGCAAAACACCAACUGUAAGUUCAUAGUGGAGGACUGGAAGAUCGGGGUUAGAUUCUCCAAGACCGCGAUGCAGGGAUUGAUCGAGCGAGGAGAGAUCGAGGACGGCAUAAGAAAGGUGAUGGAUAGCGAGGAGGGGAAGGAAAUGAAGGAGAGAGUGGAGAGCUUGAAGAUCCUUGCCAGGAAAGCCAUGGACAAAGAGCAUGGGAAAUCGUUUCGUGGCGUCCAAGCAUUCUUGGAAGAUCUCAAAGGUUUGAAGAUCCAUCGCGAGUGAGUGAAAGAUCCAUUCUUUGAAGAGAACUUUAAGAACUUUGUACCAGUUCUCAAGAUAAUUAAUGUUCCAACUUCUUUGAUCCAUACCGGUUUCUUCCUCACUGAGAUUGCGCAUAAGCAUUGGAAAGCCAGACGCAGAGCGCAGGAGGUGCCAACAUCCCUGCGGCGAUCCUGGCUGCUCGAUCCGACUCCGAGUUGAGAAAUCCGCAGGGAUUACCGCGAGGAGAUGGAAUUCCUCGCGAAUGGCCGCUACCAACUGGGGAUAUCUUUAGCGGAACCCCCUGGGAUCACCACAAUGCCCUCUGAUAGACUCUGAGCAGCGUUUUACUUGACUAGAUGCGAAAGAGCUUCGUUAGAACCUACAUGAAAACGUUUGGAACCAAUAUUAAAGUCGAUGCUUACAAACUUCAGCGCAACAUUGUUGCUCGGAAUCUUUGCGAAGUUGCAUUUGCCCAGACGAGGCAUCAUUUGCGGCCGAAGGGAAGACACCAUUAGCGCGCUGUAGUCAUGCAUUUCUUUAAGAAUCCGGGAUUAGAGAGAUGUCUUAGAGCACUUACUUAAUGUUACAUGCUCUUACCAUGUUUUUCUUCUCUCUUUUGCUCGUCCCAGCCGCCAUGCACGGAAAUAUCUAGAUUUUUCCCAACUUAAAAGAGAUCAAGAUUCAUGUGGCAGUUGUCCAGGCAUGCAAGGGAUCAUUGCCCCAAAUAUCGAUCCAAACUUUACAGUCCCUUAGCUUUUGGAAUUGUGAAACUUAAUCCCAGCGAGGGGAUAAUAAUCCUUGGAACCAUCAUCAGGAUCUUAAUCUCCAGAAAUUGGACAAAACACUAAACUACCAAGGAAUCUUCUCCAGAGACGCCUAGUAGUCUAAACAGUUUACGCACAAAUCUUUCCUUGCCAAAAAAAAAUCAUGGCUUCUACCAAGGUCCAUGUCUUGGCGGUUCCAGUGGCCGCCCAAGGCCAUAUCUCCCCAAUGAUCCAUCUCUGCAAGUUCAUCGCUCAAGAUCCAAGCUUCACAAUCUCCGUGGUCAAUAUCGACAGCCUCCACGACGAAUUCAUCAAGCACUGGGCGGCGCUGGAAGAGAUACGCCUCCAUUCCAUCCCAUUCUCGUGGAAGGUCCCGCGAGGAGUCGACGCCCACGUCGUGCGAAAUCUGGGGGACUGGUUCGCGGCAGCUGCGCGAGAGCUCCCCGGCGGCCUCGAGGAUUUGAUCCGCAAGCUCGGCGAGGAGGGCGAUCCGGUCAGCUGUAUCGUCUCGGAUUACUUCUGCGAUUGGACCCAGGAUGUGGCGGAUGUGUUUGGCAUCCCCAGGGUCAUUCUUUGGCCGGGCACCGCGGCAUGGACGAGCUUGGAGUACCACAUUCCAGAGCUUCUGGAGAAGGAUCACAUAUUUCCUAGCAGAGGUACGAAUCCCCUAUUUUGGCCAUGAACUUUCCCUGUUCUUCCCUUGGAAUUAAACGUUUCCCCUGUUCUUCCCUUGUUUUCCCUGGAAUUACCCUGUUCUUCCCUUGGAAUACCAUCGUUCUUCCCUUUAGCCCUCUUCCCUUUGGAAUUAACAUCCCCUGUUCUUCCCUUGGGCUGAUCGAUGCAUGCGCAGGGAGGGCUUCCGCGGACGAGGCCAAUUCUGUGAUCAUCGAUUACGUCCGAGGAGUCAAGCCGCUCCGCCUGGCCGAUGUGCCCACGUACCUUCAGGGCGACGAGGUGUGGAAGGAGAUUUGCAUCAAGCGCUCCCCCGUCGUGAAGCGCGCGCGCUGGGUCCUCGUCAAUUCCUUCUACGACCUAGAGGCGCCCAGUUUUGAUUUCAUGGCCAGCGAGCUCGGGCCUCGAUUCAUCCCCGCGGGACCACUGUUCUUGCUCGACAAUUCCAGGAAGAAUGUGGUGCUUCGACCCGAGAACGAGGAUUGCCUUCACUGGAUGGAUGCGCAGGAGCGUGGAUCUGUUCUCUACAUCUCAUUUGGCAGCAUCGCGGUGCUGAGCGUGGAGCAGUUCGAGGAGCUCGCGGGAGCUCUCGAGGCAUCGAAGAAGCCAUUCUUGUGGGUGAUUCGACCUGAGCUGGUGGUGGGUGGUCACUCGAACGAAUCUUACAAUGGGUUUUGCGAGAGGACCAAGAACCAGGGAUUCAUCGUUUCCUGGGCGCCACAGCUGCGAGUUCUCGCCCAUCCCUCCAUGGGAGCGUUUCUCACUCACUGCGGAUGGAAUUCCGUCCAGGAGAGCAUCGCGAAUGGCAUUCCAAUGCUGGGGUGGCCUUACGGGGGCGAGCAAAACACCAACUGUAAGUUUAUAGUGGAGGACUGGAAGAUCGGGGUUAGAUUCUCCAAGACAGUGGUGCAGGGAUUGAUCGAGCGGGGAGAGAUCGAGGCUGGCAUAAGAAAGGUGAUGGAUAGCGAGGAGGGGAAGAAGAUGAAGGAGAGAGUGGAGAACUUGAAGAUCCUUGCGAGGAAAGCUAUGGACAAAGAGAAUGGGAAGUCGUUUCGUGGCCUCCAGGGAUGGCUGGAAGAUCUCAAAGUUAUGAAGCUGGUUCGCGAGUGAGUGAACGAUGCAUUCUUUGAUAAGAAUUUUCUAUCUAUCAGUUCUAAAGAUAAACACAUGCUAGUCAAGUAAAACGCUUGUGCCUGGGAUUUGGAUAAUGUUGGAAAUGGCUGAGUAAACAAACAAAAAUUACUUAACAAAAUUGUUCAGGAAUGUUCUAUUGCUAGUGGCCGACCAUAAGUUACAAUCAAAGCGAAUGGACGUUAAUUAUAUGCUCUAUGUAACAUUUCUUGGUGAGGAAAAAAGCAGAUGCAAAAUAACUGUAAGACUUAGUUAAUUAAAACUAACAUGAAAACGUUUGGAUUUUCGAUGUUUACAACAAAAAACUCUACAAAUGCUUGAGUACAGUAUUGUUGCUCGGAAUCUUUGCUAACUUGCAUUUGCCCAGACCAGGCAUCAUUUCCAGCCAAAGAGAAGACAACGAGCGUUCUCUUGAUCGAUAAUCAUGCACUUAUUUUAGGCUGGACUUAGCCACGGCCAUUUUGUGGACAAGAGCACCACUCAUGAAUUUGAUUGCUCCAAUGUUAAAUGCUCUUACCAUAUUCUCAAAGGCUGGAAGCUUCCCAGCCGCCAGGUGUAGGGACAGAUUUUUGCCACCUUCUCAAGAUUCAUGCGGCAAGUGUCCAUAGGAUCAUUGCUUGUUCAAAUUCAGGAGCUGUAAUGGAUCCGAAGCGAGCUUGCAAUUUGGGUCAAUGUGAGUCUCGUUCUAGAGCAGAAUUGCCUCUCACAACGCUUAUGCUAAUCUUCCUUUUGUAUAAGUUUUGCAGGCCUAGGGUUCGCUCUAUCAACUUGUGUAAACAUCCGUUGCCUUCCCCGCCAAGAAAACCAUUCUAGUAAAUACCAAUGAACCCUGCCAAGGAAACCAUGGCUUCUCGCAAGGUCCAUGUCUUGGCGUUUCCAGCGCCCGCGCAAGGCCAUAUCUCCCCAAUGAUCCAUCUCUGUAAGUUCAUCGCCCAAGAUCCAAGCUUCACAAUCUCCUGGGUCAAUAUCGACAGCCUCCACGACGAGUUCGUCAAGCACUGGGUGGCGCCGGCGGGGCUGGAAGAUCUGCGCCUCCAUUCCAUCCCAUUCUCGUGGAAGCUCCCGCGAGGAGUCGAUGCCAACGUCGCAGGAAAUGUGGGAGACUGGUUCACGGCAGCCGCGCGAGAGCUCCCCGGCGGUCUCGAGGAUUUGAUCCGCAAGCUCGGCGAGGAGGGGGAUCCGGUCAGCUGUAUCGUCUCGGAUUACAUCUGCGAUUGGACCCAGGAUGUGGCGGAUGUGUUUGGGAUCCCCAGGAUCAUUCUUUGGUCGGGCAAUGCGGCAUGGACGAGCUUUGAGUACCACAUUCCAGAGCUUCUGGAGAAAGAUCACAUCUUUCCAAGCAAAGGUACGAAUCUCUGUUCUUCCCUUGUUCUUCCCUUGGAAUUAAGCGUUUCCCCUAUGCUUCCCUUGUAUUUACCCUCUUCUUCCCUUGGAAUACCAUCAAAUUUCCCCUGCUCUUCCUUUGGAAUUAAACCUCCUCUUGUUGACGCAGGGAAAGCUUCCCCGGACGAGGCCAAUUCCGUGAUCAGGGCCAGGAGGUGUUGAAGGAGAUUUGCAUCAAGCGCUCCCCCGUCGUCAAGCGCGCGCGCUGGGUCCUCGUCAAUUCCUUCUACGACCUCGAGGCGCCCACCUUCGAUUUCAUGGCCAGCGAGCUCGGGCCUCGAUUCAUCCCCGUGGGGCCACUGUUCCUGCUCGACGAUUCCAGGAAGAAUGUGGUGCUUCGACCCGAGAACGAGGAUUGCCUUCACUGGAUGGAUGCGCAGGAGCCUGGAUCGGUGCUCUACAUCUCGUUUGGCAGCGUCGCGGUGCUGAGCGUGGAGCAGUUUGAGGAGCUCGCGGGAGCUCUCGAGGCAUCGAAGAAGCCAUUCUUGUGGGUGAUUCGACCUGAGCUGGUGGUGGGUGGUCACUCGAACGAAUCUUACAAUGGGUUUUGCGAGAGGACCAAGAACCAGGGAUUCAUCGUUUCCUGGGCGCCACAGCUGAGAGUUCUCGCCCAUCCCUCCAUGGGAGCGUUUCUCACGCACUGCGGAUGGAAUUCCGUCCAGGAGAGCAUCGCUAAUGGCAUUCCAAUGCUGGGGUGGCCUUAACGGGGCGAGCAAAACACCAACUGUAAGUUCAUAGUGGAGGACUGGAAGAUCGGGGUUAGAUUCUCCAAGACAGUGGUGCAGGGAUUGAUCGAGCGAGGAGAGAUCGAGGCCAGCAUAAGAAAGGUGAUGGAUAGCGAGGAGGGGAAGAAGAUGAAGGAGAGAGUGGAGAACUUGAAGAUCCUUGUGAGGAGAGCUAUGGACAAAGAGAAUGGGAAGUCAUUUCAUGGCCUCCAGGGAUGGCUGGAAGAUCUCAAAGCUAUGAAGCUGGAUUGCGAGUGAGUGAAUGAUGCAUUCUUUGAUAAGAACUUUCUAUCUAUCAGUUCUUAAGAUAAAGACAUGCUAGUCAAGUAAACCGUUUGUGCGGGAUUUGGAUAAUGUCUGAGCAAAUAAACAAAAAUUAUUUGACAUAAUUGCUCAGGAUGCUUUAUUGCUAGUGGUUGACCAUAAGUUAUAAUCAAAGCAAUGGACAUUAUAGUCUUGUGUUCUAUGCAACAUCUCUCGGUGAGGAAAAAAGCAAAUGUAAAAGAACUGUAAGACUAAAAAAUUUUUAUUUUUACAUAAAAAUGUUUGGGAUUGUCAAAAACAAACUUUACAAAUACUUGAGUAUAGUAUUUGAAACGAACAAGAAAGCGAACUCUAGGCUAACCUCCCAACCCUUAAAGGUGUUAUGGCUUUAAAUCCCAUAGGUUAUGGAAUAUUUUUAGAAUAUUUCUAUGUUUCAUGUCAUUCUCCCAUCCCUCAUGACUCAACCACAUACAGCAGCAUUGAGAAGCUAAACGAGCCUCAUAUGAAGGGAAUUCAAGACAAUACGGCCAUAAAAAAAACAUGUGCAAACGGCAACAGAAACAUUGUGACAAGCAGCCAUAAAAGAAAGAAAGCAAUAUGGCUUUCUCACAUGACAAUACGGUUAUGAAAACAAAAGAAUGAGAAUAGAACAAACAACUCAAAUCAUAUAGCAAUACAGUGUAAGUUACAAAUUUUUCCUUUCUAAUUUGUCAACUUACCUCAUCUAUCCGACCAACACUGUUUUAACCUUAGUUAGGUUCCCUCACCAAAGUUUUCGCUUAUUGUACUAACUCCUACUUAGUCUUACUUGGUCCUAUUUGGUUUUAUCUAUUCAUUGCAUGAGCAAUAGAACAUUAGCCAUUUGUUCACAGAUUCCCAAAUUUCUCUCAAUCCCCCUCCCCGAGUUAGACUGGACUUAAGGUUCGACUACACUCCCCGCAAGUAUAAACAGCCAAACACACUAAGCUUCUAAAUUCUUAACAUCCCUUGGUACAACAAGACUUGAUCAUAGGACCUUCUAAAUCCCAAGCCUUGGGUGCAACACUUGCUUCGGGAUGUUGAGGAAAAACACUAUAGCCUAAUGGCCUAGUAUGGGUACCUCUACUCCCCCACUUCCAUCCCGAAGGGAAGACCUAAGCCCCUAAAAAGGGCGAGGAUCAAUGAUCUACAAGGUACUUAAGUGGGGCACCACUUCAUAUGAGCCAGGACCACCAUAGUCAGUUUUCCUUUCGGGAGUGAGAGUUGCUCUUGAGCAUUUCCUUGGUGGCCCAUCCGACACCACCCAAGUCCAUACCCACUCCCACCCAAGGCCCUUUGGUCCCAAUCUCAACCUCAAGUCAGUUUGGAAGCACCACUGGAAAGUUCGUUCAAGAUUGAUUUCUGGACCUCAUUAUUUCUACUAUACUUUUUUGGAACCCCCUUCCUCCUUCAUCCGCGAGAACAAGGCGAGAGCGAGCUCGACCUCGCUGUAGUUACAGUGGCCCAUGAUGAUCGCAGUCCAGGAAACCACGUCGUGGAACUCCAUCUUGUUGAAGACGAUCUUGGCAUACUCCAGGCUUCCACACUUGGAGUACAUAUCCACGAGACCGCUGGAGACGAACACAUCCCCGGAGUACUGGUUCUUGACAAUCUCGGCAUGGAUCACUGCUCCUCUUUCCAAAGUAGCCACCUUGACAAGCCUGCCACCUUCGACCACUGUCCCUUUCUCUCGAGCUGCGACCAUGGAGCAGGCCUGGAGAGCUGCCAGAUAAGUUCUCGCGUUUGGGAGAAGACCAUCUUCCUGGAUCCGCGAGAAGAGCUCGAGAGCUCCCUUGCCAUCGCCGUUCUGGACGUAACCUUUGAUCAUGGUGUUCCACGAGAUGGCAUCACGGAACUGGAUCCCAUCGAAGACCUUGCGAGCAUCCGCGACGAGGCCAAAGUGCGCGUAGCUGUCGAUCAGAGUGUUGGCCACCGACACAUCUCGAUCGUUCUUGGUGGCGACGAGAUCGCUGUGGAGGCUCAUGAGAUCCCAUCUCUCGCUGCAAGCCUUGAUCGCGAGCACGAUCACUGGCACGCACGGCCGGAUCCCACACUGGCGCAUUCUUCCAUAGGUAUCCCGCGCCUUCUCCCCCUCGAGCAGCCGCUUGGUCACGUACACGGGCUUGUCGGCUGUCCGGGACGGCGCCUUGAACCAUUUGAGCGGCGCGAGCUGUGACAGGCGCUGCGUCGCUAGGAUCGGCGAUGGCCGGAAGACCGGCAUUCGAUCGAGAGAGAGGAGACUUACCGCGAUGGCGAUGGCGGCAUUGCUCCUCCCAACAGCCCUAGUUUUAGGGAUUUGUCCCUUUCAUAUAAUUUGCCAGAGAUGGGUAUUUUGGACGAGCAAGCGUUUUACUUGACUAGAUCCAAACGAGCAGUGUUACGUCGUUAGAACUAACUUGAAAAACAUAAAGAAACAAUUUAAAAUAGAUGAUUGAAAGAAAGCUUUAGAGAUGAUAAACUAAAGCUUAAGAGGACAACUGGAACAAUGAAAAGUCGCACUUGCCCGGGAAAGGCAUUUAAAGGUUUCAUAAUAAACACAACUUCUGCAAAAGCUGGUCGAUGUGUACGAUCAAAUGGAAAACAACCAACUGGCUGGACAAGAUUCUCGUGGAUAAAGUGAUGGUUCUAUGGUUAUAAGGUCCGCAUGGAUCAAUUCUCAGAGUGGGAAGAGACCUAAGAAAUCAUGAGAUCCUUGCAAAGUUCUAGCGAUUCUUCCUCCCCCAGUAGCAAGAUCCAUGUCGUGGUCGUUCCCCUGCCCGCGCAAGGCCAUAUGUCCCCAAUGAUCCAUCUCUGCAAGCUCAUCGCUCGAGAUCCAAGCUUCACGAUCUCCUUGGUCAAUGUGGACAGCCUCCACGACGAGUUCGUCAAGCACUGGGUGGCGCCGGCGGGGCUGGAAGAUCUGCGCCUCCAUUCCAUCCCAUACUCGUGGCAGCUCCCGCUAGGAGCCGAUGCCCACGCGCUGGGAAAUGUGGGGGACUGGUUCACGGCAUCCGCGCGAGAGCUCCCAGGCGGCCUCGAGGAUUUGAUCCGCAAGCUCGGCGAGGAGGGUGAUCCGGUCAACUGCAUCAUCUCGGAUUACUUCUGCGAUUGGAGCCAGGAUGUGGCGGAUGUGUUUGGCAUCCCCAGGAUCAUUCUUUGGUCGGGAAACGCGGCAUGGACGAGCUUGGAGUACCACAUUCCAGAGCUUCUGGAGAAAGAUCACAUCUUUCCUAGCAGAGGUACGAAUCUUUGAAUUUACCAUGAACAUUAGUUCUUUCCCUCCGUCCCUUAUUCAAAUUUUGCCUGUUCUUCCCCGAUUCGUGCGCAGGGAGAGCUUCCCCGGAGGAGGCCAAUUCCGUCAUCAUUGACUACGUCCGAGGGGUGAAGCCCCUCCGCCUGGCCGAUGUGCCCGAUUACAUGCAGGGCAACGAGGUGUGGAAGGAGAUUUGCAUCAAGCGCUCCCCCGUCGUGAAGAGCGCGCGCUGGGUCCUUGUCAAUUCCUUCUACGACCUCGAGGCGCCCACCUUCGAUUUCAUGGCCAGCGAGCUCGGGCCCCGAUUCAUCCCCGCGGGGCCACUGUUCUUGCUCGACGAUUCCAGGAAGAACGUGGUGCUUCGUCCGGAGAACGAGGAUUGCCUUGGCUGGAUGGAUGAGCAGGAGCCUGGAUCGGUGCUCUACAUCUCGUUUGGCAGCAUCGCGGUGCUGAGCGUGGAGCAAUUCGAGGAGCU
This 11238-nucleotide long non-coding RNA is filed under the name Selaginella moellendorffii. Its description in RNAcentral is "long non-coding RNA (SMOE_LNC002265)". The record is from RNAcentral. Lineage: Eukaryota; Viridiplantae; Streptophyta; Lycopodiopsida; Selaginellales; Selaginellaceae.